RNAcentral lists this transfer RNA (74 nucleotides) under Cromeria nilotica (naked shellear). Its description in RNAcentral is "tRNA-Lys". It matches the Rfam family "tRNA". From Rfam's summary of the family: Transfer RNA (tRNA) molecules are approximately 80 nucleotides in length. The record is from RNAcentral. Lineage: Eukaryota; Metazoa; Chordata; Actinopteri; Gonorynchiformes; Kneriidae.
CAUUGGGAAGCUAAAUUGGAUAUAGCGUUAGCCUUUUAAGCUAAAAAUUGGUGACCUCCACUCACCCCCAGUGA